GUCGGGAAUUUUGGGCAAUGGGCGCAAGCCUGACCCAGCAACGCCGCGUGAAGGAUGAAAUCCCUCGGGAUGUAAACUUCGCAAGAAUGGGAAGAAUAAGUAGGGGAUAAUACCCUCUAUGAUGACGGUACCAUUUGUAAGCUCCGGCUAACUCCGUGCCAGCAGCCGCGGUAAUACGGGGGGAGCAAGCGUUGUUCGGAUUUACUGGGCGUAAAGGGCGCGUAGGCGGCCAGUGCAAGUCAGUUGUGAAAUCUCCGAGCUUAACUCGGAAAGGUCAACUGAUACUGCUCGGCUAGAGUGCGGAAGGGGCAACUGGAAUUCUUGGUGUAGCGGUGAAAUGCGUAGAUAUCAAGAGGAACACCUGCGGCGAAGGCGGGUUGCUGGGCCGACACUGACGCUGAUGCGCGAAAGCUAGGGGAGCGAACGGGAUUAGAAACCCCUGUAGUCC
RNAcentral lists this ribosomal RNA (448 nucleotides) under uncultured bacterium. RNAcentral's name for it is "bacterial SSU rRNA". It matches the Rfam family "Bacterial small subunit ribosomal RNA", at positions 354 to 796 of the family's 1533-position model. The record is from RNAcentral.